UCAGGACGAACGCUGGCGGCGUGCUUAACACAUGCAAGUCGAACGGUGAACCUGCUUCGGUGGGGGAUCAGUGGCGAACGGGUGAGUAACACGUGGGCAACCUGCCCCCAGCUCUGGGAUAACUCCAAGAAAUUGGUGCUAAUACCGGAUGUGACCGCUGACCGCAUGGUCUGGUGGUGGAAAGAUUCAUCGGCUGGGGAUGGGCCCGCGGCCUAUCAGCUUGUUGGUGGGGUGAUGGCCUACCAAGGCGACGACGGGUAGCCGGCCUGAGAGGGUGACCGGCCACACUGGGACUGAGACACGGCCCAGACUCCUACGGGAGGCAGCAGUGGGGAAUAUUGCGCAAUGGGCGAAAGCCUGACGCAGCGACGCCGCGUGAGGGAUGACGGCCUUCGGGUUGUAAACCUCUUUCAGUAGGGACGAAGCGCAAGUGACGGUACCUACAGAAGAAGCACCGGCCAACUACGUGCCAGCAGCCGCGGUAAUACGUAGGGUGCAAGCGUUGUCCGGAAUUAUUGGGCGUAAAGAGCUCGUAGGCGGUCUGUCGCGUCGGCUGUGAAAACCCGAGGCUCAACCUCGGGCCUGCAGUCGAUACGGGCAAACUAGAGUACUGCAGGGGAGACUGGAAUUCCUGGUGUAGCGGUGAAAUGCGCAGAUAUCAGGAGGAACACCGGUGGCGAAGGCGGGUCUCUGGGCAGUAACUGACGCUGAGGAGCGAAAGCGUGGGGAGCGAACAGGAUUAGAUACCCUGGUAGUCCACGCCGUAAACGUUGGGCGCUAGGUGUGGGGGCCA
RNAcentral lists this ribosomal RNA (793 nucleotides) under bacterium. RNAcentral describes it as "bacterial SSU rRNA". It matches the Rfam family "Bacterial small subunit ribosomal RNA", at positions 24 to 831 of the family's 1533-position model. The record is from RNAcentral.